RNAcentral lists this small RNA (117 nucleotides) under Salmonella enterica subsp. enterica serovar Infantis. Its description in RNAcentral is "RtT sRNA". It matches the Rfam family "RtT RNA". From Rfam's summary of the family: This family represents a bacterial cis-regulatory element known as RtT RNA. The exact function of RtT is unknown although it is thought that it may be involved in changing the cellular response in relation to amino acid starvation. The record is from RNAcentral. RNAcentral also lists the same sequence under 2 other names. Lineage: Bacteria; Pseudomonadati; Pseudomonadota; Gammaproteobacteria; Enterobacterales; Enterobacteriaceae.
ACUUCGUUCGGGACGAAGGGGUCGGAGGUUCGACUCGAGCGAAGCGAGAGAACGUUGCGUCAGCAACGGCCCGCAGGGCGAGCCACGCAGUGGCGAGUCAUCCUCUAUCACCGACCA